CACAGGAAGUCACAGGUCGCAGCGAUCAUGCAGGACAUCAGCGUGGCUGCAACUGAAGCUCGCUGUAAGCACAAUGUAUUGUUUGUGGUAACGGUUUGGCAACUACAGCGAUUUGCAGCAGAUAUCUGAAACCAAGUUUUUUAUGGUUGCUGGCAAUUUAUUGAAAAUAUGUAUUCCUGAGUACUGAGCCCCUUUUUGGACCAAGAUUUUGAUUCAUAUGAGGAGCCCAGAAUGGAAAUUUAAGAGCUGCGAGGACGUGAAAUCCAGCUGGACAAUAAGAUUACAAACACAACCUUUGUGGGGCACAACAGCAUCCAGUUAAGCAUUUAUGGAUUCAACAAUAAAUUGUACAGUUGCUUGUUUUCAAGCACAUGCCAGCACAGCUGUCAUUAAAGAGGAGGUUACAGGUAUGGCCCCCAGCCAAUGUACAUUCGACAGAGAUUAUCAAUACUGGUUGCUUCCAUAAUGAGACUAUUGGCUUGC
This is a long non-coding RNA of Schistocerca gregaria, 483 nucleotides long. RefSeq lists it as uncharacterized. NCBI's taxonomy places the organism in Eukaryota, Metazoa, Arthropoda, Insecta, Orthoptera, Acrididae. The record is from RefSeq and is a predicted model, not a curated record. The transcript has 3 exons.